Molecule: ribosomal RNA, 406 nt
Filed under: uncultured bacterium
Lineage: Bacteria
Description: partial 16S ribosomal RNA
Rfam family: Bacterial small subunit ribosomal RNA
Source: RNAcentral
CUUGACCGCUGGCGGCAGGCCUAACACAUGCAAGUCGGGCGAGAGGCGGACGGGGGAGUAAUGUAUGGGGAUCUGCCUGAUGGAGGGGGAUAACUACUGGAAACGGUAGCUAAUACCGCAGACACUCAGAUGAACCCAUAUGGGAUUAGCUUGUAGGUAAGGUAACGGCUUACCUAGGCGACGAACCCUAGCUGGUCGGAGAGGAUGAUCAGCCACACUGGGACUGAGACACGGCCCAGACUCCUACGGGAGGCAGCAGUGGGGAAUAUUGCACAAUGGGCGCAAGCCUGAUGCAGCCAUGCCGCGUGUAUGAAGAAGGCCUUCGGGUUGUAAAGUACUUUCAGUCGGGAGGCGUUACCGACAGAGUCAGCUCCGGCUAACUCCGUGCCAGCAGCCGCGGUCCUUC